GAACGCACAUUGCGCCCAUUCGUAUUCUAGUGGGCAUGCCUGUUCGAGCGUCAUUUCAACCCUUAAGCCUAGCUUAGCGUUGGGAGACUGCACUAAACCGCAGCUCCUCAAAACCAGUGGCGGAGUUUGUUCGUACUCUGAGCGUAGUAAUUCAUUAUCUCGCUUCUGCAAGUACGGCUGACGACAGCCAUAAACCGCACCCUUCGGGGGCACUUUUUUAAUGGUUGACCUCGGAUCAGGUAGGAAUACCCGCUGAACUUAAG
Molecule: unclassified non-coding RNA, 263 nt
Filed under: uncultured fungus
Lineage: Eukaryota; Fungi
Description: sequence contains 5.8S rRNA gene
Source: RNAcentral